Pocillopora verrucosa is the source of this 970-nucleotide non-coding RNA. NCBI's taxonomy places the organism in Eukaryota, Metazoa, Cnidaria, Anthozoa, Scleractinia, Pocilloporidae. The record is from RefSeq and is a predicted model, not a curated record.
UUUAUGUACCAUACCCAGCCUAUGAAAUGUGAUCAAAUCUUAUCAAUCCUAACGGAAUGAGCAUACAUUUUAAUUCAUAGUUCCUUACUUGCACAGAACACAGAACAUCCAUUCGUCCAUCAGUGAUUUAUCUUCUUAUACUCACCAUAUCAACUGUUUGUGAAAAUAUUUCUGUUCAAACAUUUUAGACGCCAUAUGCCACAGACAGCAUAGAAUCUUGAGAGAAGAACUCACAACAAAAGAAAGGCUUUGUUGACCACAUGUUGGAGGUGUGCAAUUAAGAGUUUGCCACAUCAAAUAUUGAAAAAGUUUCAACAACAUCUGAUGAAAAUGAUGCGAAAGAUGAAUAAACAGGGAGAAAUUCUGUCUUGGUCACUCAUUGGAGUUGGAGAGAUUAUCAAGAAUCAUGCCUUGAUGUGCUUCAGAAUGUUUGUUUUGUGAUUACAUGGAUAAUCACUGCUUUCUUGAACAAGUGGACUGUUCAAUUUUGCGAGAAAGACAAAUCUUAUUUGGUAACUUUUGUAGCUGAAUGCUGGUCAACAUUCAAAUGCGAACAAAAUGGAUAUUACUAUUUUUGUUCCUUUGCAAAUUUGCAAAUAUGAAUGUAAACUAAUAAUUAAAUAACACUGUCAAUUGUCACUAUCACUUAAUUCCUGAAACUCUAGCACCAACUUGCACAAAUGCAGAGUAAGUGGAGUAUUAACUAUCAAUCCAUUAGAACAAUCUGCAUCUUUUAAAAUCACAUUCCAAAUGACUCAUCGUUUCAAAUUCAAUUUUGAAUGGUUACCAAAGGUUCAUAAUGUACAAAAAUCCACCAGAAAUUUGUAAAAAACGAAAUUUUGGCCGAAAAACAUUUAAAAAUUAGUCAUUCUAAAUUAUCGAAUGUUGAGAAAUAUAUAAAUUAUGUAGGUUUUGCAUUUAUUGACCUGUAAAGGAAAGGUUCAUAUUUUAAACAUUUAUAUUUAAGAAC